Molecule: long non-coding RNA, 1007 nt
Filed under: Mytilus galloprovincialis (Mediterranean mussel)
Lineage: Eukaryota; Metazoa; Mollusca; Bivalvia; Mytilida; Mytilidae
Source: RNAcentral
GACAAUGUUAACAUGUGUAAAUAAACCAAAAGUACUGAAGAGACAAUGACGAUUCUAGAGGUUUAAAAAACCUGUAAAAGAUACAUACAAAUGUAUUUAACGAAUGAUGCAUUGUGAGGAAUGAUAUACGGUAAUGUAUGGACACAUAAUGCAUAUGGAAUAACACUAAAACGCACAUAGCUGUCACGGAAAUAUGUCGAAUUAAUUGGCACACUUUAAGGAUGUUUGCUGCUCAGUUUCAAAAUAAAUACCUUUCCUAAAACUAGUAUGUAUUGAAAAAAAAAAUUGAGGAAUCAAAAAAGCAAAAAAAAUAUAGGGGUCAAUGUGCUUGUUUUUGAGAUAUUAGCCAUUGGAAUUUUGGCGAGAAAAUAUUCUCUCUUGAUUUUUUGAUAGCUUUAUCAUUGACCAGUUAAAGUUCUCAUAUACUAUUAAAAGAUAUAUAAAAUUUUAUAAAACUUUUACAAAUGACUUAUAAGUAUACAGUCAUGUAAAAGAUUUAUCAAAAGAAAAAUGGGGGUUCAUGGGGAAUUUUUUUGUAUGGCAUUCAAAUGGAUAAAAUCAGAGGAUUCCGAAAAUCUGAGAAAAAUUCCAAAACAUGACAAGCAGACAUCCUUAAUACCAACUUCCCGGUAUUGAGCAUUAUUCAUCUAUUUGUCAUAAUCGUCUAUUGGUUCAUUUGUUUGAUCUAUGAAUGAAUCAUUGUUCUUUCAAAUGUUUUGAUUUUGAACGUCAUUGAUGAGUUCAUCUGGUGUAGCAAAUAUUAGCCUGGUAAUUUUUAUGACAUUUUGGAUGAUAUGGACCCCGUUUCAGUCGAUAUAUACGGUUCAUAAUAUAGGAUUCGAAAUGUCACAUGUUUCGACAAUAUUUCAAUUUGACUAUUAUUUAAUUCAAAAAGGGAUAAUUAUCAAUUCGCUUUAGUUUUACCCCUUAUCAAAGGAUUUCACUCAAGGCGGGAGAUAAUUGAACAGCGAGAACAACUGUCCGUUCUUGUAUACCCAAUCAUUGAG